RNAcentral lists this transfer RNA (76 nucleotides) under Clostridia bacterium. Its description in RNAcentral is "tRNA-Thr". It matches the Rfam family "tRNA". Rfam says of the family: Transfer RNA (tRNA) molecules are approximately 80 nucleotides in length. The record is from RNAcentral. Lineage: Bacteria; Bacillati; Bacillota; Clostridia.
GCUGGUGUAGCUCAGCAGGCAGAGCGACUGACUUGUAAUCAGUAGGUCGGGGGUUCGAUUCCGUCCACCAGCUCCA